AUAAUACUUCCUUCGUCCGAAAAUAAUUGUCCUACAAGUAGAUGUAUCUAGAUUUAUUUUAGUUAUAGAUACAUUUAUUUUAUACAUUUUUAGGACAAGUAUUUCCGGAUGAAGUGAGUAAUAU
Molecule: microRNA precursor, 124 nt
Filed under: Hordeum vulgare
Lineage: Eukaryota; Viridiplantae; Streptophyta; Magnoliopsida; Poales; Poaceae
Description: microRNA MIR1122
Rfam family: MIR1120/MIR1122 microRNA precursor family
Source: RNAcentral